ACAAUGCGGGACUAUCAGUCUUGCAAUUGGAUUGAGAACAAUGUACAACUCUUAUCGAUAAGCCAUUGGAGGGCAAGUCUGGUGCCAGCAGCCGCGGUAAUUCCAGCUCCAAUAGCGUAUAUUAACGUUGUUGCAGUUAAAAAGCUCGUAGUUGAAGUGUGGGUGAUCGCUGUUGUGAGACUUCGGUCUCUCGACAGUAAGUCACCCCCUUCCAGUAUCCAGUAGUGGGUAUUCAGUUACUUACUAUUGUGUGUUGGUCAUUUACUGUGAGAAAAUUAGAGUGUUCAAAGCAGGCGUUUGCUUGAAUAGAUUAGCAUGGAAUAAUAAUUGAAGGCUUUCGUGUUCGAUUUGAUUGGUUUGUUCAUGGAAGCAAGGUUAAAAGGAACAGUUGGGGGUAUUCAUA
This 403-nucleotide ribosomal RNA is filed under the name Blastocystis sp. RNAcentral describes it as "SSU rRNA". It matches the Rfam family "Eukaryotic small subunit ribosomal RNA", at positions 477 to 896 of the family's 1831-position model. Lineage: Eukaryota; Bigyra; Opalinata; Blastocystidae. The record is from RNAcentral.